AUGGCCCUCCGGCCUCAAGAUCCGCGCGGCCUCGCCGGCGAGGUCGGCCGGGCGCUUGGACGAGUCGAGGGCGCGGCCGGCGAAGACGAAGUCGACGGAGGAGGACUCGAACGGCAGGCGGCGGUCGUCACCGGCGACGGCGAGCGGCGGGGAGCGCCUCCUCGCGACGGCGACGGCGCCGGCCACGCCGAGCUCCCGCAGCGCGAGCGCCUGCUGGGCCCCGCCGAGGCAGACGGCGCGGGAGGACGACGCCAGGAGGCCGUCGGCGAGGUGCCGCCCGAGGACCCCGGCGUGGAACUCCACCGCCUGGCGCCACUCGUGGCUGCGCCACGCCUCCGGCGUCCCCGCGGCCGCCGCGGCCUGGGCGUGGGUCCUCCUCCCGACCACCGCGGUGGACGGCACGGCCGGGUCGGGCGCCCACCCGCCGCCCACGGUCAGGAACGCCCCGUACAGCAGACGCAGCGCGAGCGCGGCGACGCCGAGGAGGAGCGCGCGCGUCAGGAGCCCCUUCCCGUGCCACUUCCUCGCCGCCGGCUCCAUGCCGGUCCGGGCUACACCAGCCGCCCCUUGCCCGCGAAUCUAGCGGCGGGGCCGGUCGGCCAAUCAGACGAUGGUCUCGUGGGGAAAAUUCCGGCGUGCGUGCGCGCGUGGGGGCUAACGGGCGCAGAAGCGGGCGGAGGUGUGGUUGGCGCCGACGAGGGGGAGGCCUGGGGGCGUGGGCUGGAAGAAGCGGGGCGCGGGGGGCGGGUAAUUGGGGAGGGUGGGAGGCUCCAUGGUUGGUUAUUCGUGGUGGACGGCCGCCGCUCCCAUCGGAAAUUCGGGGGCGAGCGGCGACGGCGAAGGUGGGUGGAGGAAGGUAUAGGAGUUGGAUUGGGCGUGUCGCUUUUCUCGGCGGGUAUGGUGGGCCCGGAUUUGCGCCGCCGAGUUAGGGGGGCCGGGGUUGCCCGGAAUUUACGACGAGCGGCGCUCGACCGGUCUCUCGCGGUGCUUCCAAAAAUAAAUCGGAGUCGGUGGAAAAUAAAGAUCGUCCAAAAGGAGUACUCCGUAGAAAAUAAAUGUGCGAUGAUCUUAUGUGUAUCUCUCUCAUUUACUCUUUUGUAG
Molecule: ribosomal RNA, 1101 nt
Filed under: Triticum aestivum (bread wheat)
Lineage: Eukaryota; Viridiplantae; Streptophyta; Magnoliopsida; Poales; Poaceae
Description: partial small subunit ribosomal RNA
Source: RNAcentral